Molecule: long non-coding RNA, 1697 nt
Organism: Pseudophryne corroboree (corroboree frog)
Lineage: Eukaryota; Metazoa; Chordata; Amphibia; Anura; Myobatrachidae
Exons: 3
Source: RefSeq, a predicted model, not a curated record
CAGGCUGACUGGAUGGAUGGACUAUGUCUCUCUGAUGGUGGGAUGACCUGUAAGUGCAGCACUUAACUAGAUGGAAUGACACUCCAGUCAUCUGCUUUCCAAUGAACUCUUACCCUCAGAUAUUCCAGGAAGAAUGCAUUGUCCCUCAACCACUUUGAUAAUUGGAUGGAAUUGUGCUCCUUCUCUAUUGUAGUUGGAUGGACGGACACUAAUCCAUUGUGAAAGAUGCAAGUACUGCCACUCAUCCCAUUUUGCUGGCUGGAUGGAGGGUUAUGCGCACAAUUAAUGCUGCGAGACAGUAAUGCUAACCACUACAACACCGUGCUGACGAUGAGGAGCAGGAGGCUGGAGUGGACUCUGGAGGCGCUGCCUGACAAUGCUGGGACUCUGGGGGGACUGAGCUGAACGCAGCCCACCCCAGUCAGCAGAGCACCUGGGGCAACACAUCUUUCUGAACGCCUUCCCAUUUGGUAACAUGGAGCACAAGGGUCAUGGCGUAGUAUUGAGCAGCAGGCUGCUUGAUAGAGGACAAAGGCUUCCCAGAGCGUCUUAAGAACUGCAUUCUGCAAAAGGGCCUGUAGUCUGAAUUGACCCCGUCUGAGAGAAGGUGAGGCCUGUGUAUCUGACAAAGCCUGCCAUAGAGUAACCAACUGACUCACACUGGAUUGGAUGGAUUAAUUAGACGUGUCGCAGUAUGUAAGAAGCAGCGGUGGUUUGAUGAGACGUUCCAAUACGGCAUAAUUAAAAUGUUCGCUGUUAGAGUGAAUUAACCACCGCAGUUCUACUGCUGGAGUACAAGUCUAAUCGUAGCGGUGCUGGUGGGAAUUGUACACGUCCUAUUACACUGCCAGACUCCUCUUCUAUUCUCUUUUGAUCUUGUAUGAGAAAUUAACCUGUUUACAAGUUCCAGUUAAUCUUUUAUUAAUGCACCAGAAGCUUCGGAACUGUAUAAUCAUACUUCAAACAAGCUGAGGUGAGACCUCCCAACAUCGUAUGAGUUAUUCCACCUAUUCCCUCUCCUAAUACAUAGAUUUUGGUUUUAUAACUUUAUAUGGUCCAGGAAUGAAAAUACAGUUAAAAAAUGUAUUACGUUUAAUUAUUCUGUUGUUUUCUGUGGAUAAAUUGUAGUGGUCAGUUCAUGCUGCUAUAGGUUCUCCCGGCACGGUAACGGCUGCACCUCUGCACUGCGACAGGAGGACAUGGACUAAAUAUAAGGCUCUGUGUGAUAUAGAUGGCCUUCUGAGCUGAUAUCACCAGACGGAGGACCCCAGGCCUGGUUCAUUAUCUGACAAGCAAGAUGUGGUAUUAUCUUUGCUUUUCAUGUCAUAGCUAAGGUUUGGAAACCAGCACACUGUCAUUUGUCCUCAGAUUUGAGAAUUUGCCAAGAGAUUGCAAACACGGAUGUGAAAAUCAACUGGUUACCGCACAUCAGUAAACAAUCCAACACUAGGGCUGCAUAAAAUGAGGUCACUGAAUGGAUGUUUACGUCAAUUUGGACUCAGCCGCAUUGUUGGCAAGCUUUAUCGCUUGGUAAAAGAGCGAAGUUGCUGUGUUUCUCCAAGGAAACGCGUGAAAUUUUGAGCCCAAAUAUAGGUGAAACGCGUCGCUCAUCUCUUGGUAAAAUAUAACAGAGUUCUACGGAAUGGUCCACUUAGCGUCUGCGAAAAAUCUCAAUGCUGUAGAGCAGCAUUGCAACA